This is a long non-coding RNA of Neopelma chrysocephalum (saffron-crested tyrant-manakin), 803 nucleotides long. RefSeq lists it as uncharacterized. The transcript is spliced from 3 exons. The record is from RefSeq and is a predicted model, not a curated record. NCBI's taxonomy places the organism in Eukaryota, Metazoa, Chordata, Aves, Passeriformes, Pipridae.
AGUUGUUUGAGAAAAAGAAUACUAUGACUGAAAAAACUGUUUUGUUUAGGGCUUUUUUUUCUCUACUCAGUCAGAUAUUAUCCAGAUCUAGCUGAGCUAUCCAAAGUAUUUAAUUGCCAGAUUUUUUUUCUGAGAACAAAGAAAAAGACCAUGUGCUAAAAUAACUGCACGUAUAAACUUAGUCAGCUGGGUUCACACUGCUGCUGCCAGAGUGAUAGCUGUUGCUUCAAUGAGAACAUCUGAGACUGCCAGAAGGGGCAAGAGGGAAGAUUGGGGCAAGAGUCCAGCCCCACAAAGAUCUGCUGCUACCACUGUGGGGCUUCCAGAAAAGUAUCUCAGCUGAUAUUUGGCUGAACCAGGGAUAAAAACUCUCCUUUGAAACUUGUAAAACACUCCCGAUUUUGUCAUAGAGUCAACAUGAGCAAGAAUACCUGUAAUCUAUGUGGGAAGAGCAGAAGUGUUUCAGAAGAAACUCUGCAACACAACACUAAGGACGAGGAUUUUUCCCAAGGAAUGGAGCCCUAUCUUGUGCAGAGAUUAUUGUCCUGUAACAUCCAGCUUCCCUCCCUAGCUUUCAGGCAGUUAGAACAGGCAUACUGGGAUAAAAAGAGUGAUACUGAGACUAUCCCAAGACCCAUGACUCUUCCACUGAGGAUACCUCCUCUGAUUGCUGUUACAGCUGCUGAGUCCAGCAGGUAAGAUACAGCAACUUGUUCUUGAUUCAACAUUUCGGCUGGCAGGUGCAGGACAUCAGAUGUUGCUUCUAGGACAGAAGCAUAUUCCUUUUCUAAAUCCCCUAAAUG